UCCGGUUGAUCCCGCCGGACCCCACUGCUAUCGAGGUGGGACUAAGCCAUGCUAGUCGAACGCACAGAACUAUGUCUGUGAGUGGCAUACUGCUCAGUAACACGUAGCUAACCUACCCUUAGGACGUUCACAACCCCGAGAAAUUGGGGCUAAUAAGCGAUAGAUAUGAUGUCCUGGAAUGGUAUUAUGUCUAAAGGUAUCCCAUACAUGUUUGGUAUACGCCUAAGGAUGGGGCCGCGGCUGAUCAGGCUGUUGGUGAGGUAAUGGCUCACCAANCCAUUGACCAGNACGGGCCAUGANAGUGGU
This 306-nucleotide ribosomal RNA is filed under the name uncultured archaeon. RNAcentral's name for it is "bacterial SSU rRNA". It matches the Rfam family "Archaeal small subunit ribosomal RNA", at positions 1 to 286 of the family's 1478-position model. The record is from RNAcentral.